UACGGAGGGUGCAAGCGUUGUUCGGAAUCAUUGGGCGUAAAGCGGGUGCAGGUGGCCUAGUAUGUCUGAUGUGAAAGCCCGGGGCUUAACCCCGGAAGUGCAUUGGAAACUGUUGGGCUAGAGUCCUGGAGAGGAUAGCGGAAUUCCUGGUGUAGAGGUGAAAUUCGUAGAUAUCAGGAGGAACACCGGUGGCGAAAGCGGCUAUCUGGACAGAGACUGACACUCAUACCCGAAAGCGUGGGGAGCAAACAGG
This 253-nucleotide ribosomal RNA is filed under the name uncultured bacterium. RNAcentral's name for it is "partial 16S ribosomal RNA". It matches the Rfam family "Bacterial small subunit ribosomal RNA", at positions 524 to 776 of the family's 1533-position model. The record is from RNAcentral.